CCUACGGGUGGCUGCAGUCGAGAAUCAUUCACAAUGGGGGAAACCCUGAUGGUGCGACGCCGCGUGGGGGAAUGAAGGUCUUCGGAUUGUAAACCUCUGUCAGCAGGGAAGAACGGUAACUGUGCUAAUCAGCAGUGAAUUGACGGUACCUGCAAAGGAAGCACCGGCUAACUCCGUGCCAGCAGCAGCGGUAAUACGGAGGGUGCGAGCGUUAAUCGGAAUUACUGGGCGGAAAGCGCUCGUAGGCGGUAGGUUAAGUGAAGGGUGAAAGCCCCGCGCUCAACGUGGGAACUGCCUUUGAGACUGGCAAACUGGAGUGUGUGAGAGGAGAGUGGAAUUCCAGGGGUAGGAGUGAAAUCCGUAGAUAGCUGGAGGAACAUCAGUGGCGAAGGCGACUAUCUGGCACAUAACUGACGCUGAGGAGCGAAAGCGUGGGUAGCAAACAGGAUUUGAUACCCGGGUAGUC
Molecule: ribosomal RNA, 466 nt
Filed under: uncultured bacterium
Lineage: Bacteria
Description: partial 16S ribosomal RNA
Rfam family: Bacterial small subunit ribosomal RNA
Source: RNAcentral